AAGGUUAGCAUUCCCCUGGACAGAGAUGACAGAGCCUUUGGGCCUGACAACAUACAAGUGGUUAAGGCACAGUUGCAGGAACCACUGCACAUA
Molecule: small nuclear RNA, 93 nt
Organism: Cavia aperea (Brazilian guinea pig)
Lineage: Eukaryota; Metazoa; Chordata; Mammalia; Rodentia; Caviidae
Source: Ensembl